CAAAAUUCAGCCUAGUUGGAACGAGUGAAAUUGUGCAAGCAUCAAUAGUGCUUCUACAUCCAACCAAACUCAAAAACGGUUUCAGCAGAUCUAACAAACAAGUCUCACAAACCAAAGAUAAUAAACUUCAAAUGCUUCUACAUAAACUUCCUGAGUAGAUCUAACAAAAGUAUCUUAGACAAACGACAUUAGCAGCAACACUGCAGCAGUGUAGCAGAUCUAAAUAUAACAGUAGCACUGUAGCAGCAUUAACAGGCAUAAACACAGUGCAAUAGGAGAAAUAACAGUAGCAGCAUUAAUAGGCAUAAAUACAGUGUGAUCCUAAAAGCUAUCUGAUGAUCAGAGAGUAUAAGAAUCAACAAGCUUUAGGCCUUGCAGCAGCUAAAAGCAAAGUUAGAGUAUAACUAUUUGAGCACUAUUUUCCUUUUGGACUUUCGCAAGAGUAGCAAAAUAAGAAAUUUUAUGAGAUAGUAGCACAGUGCUACUGUAAUUUCUACAAAUUGGAAGAAACAUGUCCUACAAUAUCAGCUGUAAGUUAAUUCCCUGCUUACCUAGCCAGAAUGAAGUCACAGAGUAAAAUAAAAAAGGAGAUACAAACUAACAAGUGUCAUUUCUCAUUUUGUCCUCAUGUGUUGCUGGUAAUUAGCCUUUCAAAAUCACAGCUACACUCUAAAUUCCACCAACCACGUCCACAAACACAUAUUAACUUAUUGCUUAUAUCCAGCACACUCAACAAAUGAACCAUCACGUCAUGUUUAUGAUCCAUGUCCACAGUAACAGAACAAUGAAGAGAAGAUCUUUGAUUAUACCAAACACAACACUAGCUUAUGUUUCACUCUAUCUGCAGCCAAGCAAGUUCUAAAUGAUUAUGGCAGUCAAUGUACACAGUCGUGCUUUUAUAUUAACAAUCAUUAAAAACUUCACCAAAUUCUAAAGAUUUAUGAUUUAAAUAUCAACUUUUCUAAUUGUUUCGGUAUAAAAGCUUUCUACCAUUAUAAUGAUUUUGUGUGAUGCUUAUUACUAGUAGCAAGAAGCUUAUCUGGAUUUCAUUUUUCCACAAAAUCAAGAUUGUUCGUUAUUCAGACAACACCUUAAAGUAUCACUCAAUUAACAAUAUUAAAAAUUUCUUAACAAUACAAAACACCAGUCUGACAUAUCUCUAACCAAAGGGAUCAGAUUUAUACUAGAAACAUACCUUUGAAACUAUCGCAACAACAGUCGAUCUCUUUCUGUAUUUGGUCUUUGUUUGCCCAGGAUUUGUGAAACUAUCGCCUCGCCCUAAGUCGGAAUUGACUUUCUGAGGAGUGAGGAGUGAGGAGUGAGGAGUCAGUACUGACUACUGAGUUCAUUCGUGACUGAGGAGUGAGGAGUGAGGAGAGAGGAGUCGGAAUUGUGAGGAGUGAGGAGUCGGAAUUGUGAGGAGUGAGGAGUCGGAAAUCAGAAUUGUGAGGAGUGAUGAGUGAAGAGUUGGAAAUCGCCAAAUCGGAAUUGUGAGCGCGAAACUCGGAAUUG
This 1512-nucleotide long non-coding RNA is filed under the name Nicotiana tabacum (common tobacco). RNAcentral describes it as "long non-coding RNA (NTAB_LNC018595)". The record is from RNAcentral. Lineage: Eukaryota; Viridiplantae; Streptophyta; Magnoliopsida; Solanales; Solanaceae.